GUCUUUUUGUUUUAAAUUUAAAGUCUGGUCUGCCCUCUGAUUUAUUUGAAUGGCCGCGGUAUUUUGACCGUGCUAAGGUAGCAUAAUCAUUAGUUUUUUAAUUGAAAGCUGGAAUGAAGGGUUGAAUGAAAAAAUAACUGUCUCUAUUUAAUUAUUAUAAAAAUUUAUUUUUAAGUUCAAAAGCUUAAAUUUUAUUAAAAGACGAGAAGACCCUAUAGAGUUUUAUAAUUUUUAGUAUAAAAGAUUUAGAAUUUAUUUUUUUAUAUUUAGAAAUUAUUUAAUUGGGGUGAUUAAAAAAUUUAAUUAACUUUUUUUAUAUAAUUUAUAUUUAUUAAUAGAUAUUUGAUCCAAAGAUUUUGAUUAAAAGAUUAAAUUACCUUAGGGAUAACAGCGUAAUUUUAUUAGAGAGUUCUAAUUGAUAAUAAAGAUUGCGA
RNAcentral lists this ribosomal RNA (434 nucleotides) under Galeruca interrupta. RNAcentral describes it as "partial 16S large subunit ribosomal RNA". Lineage: Eukaryota; Metazoa; Arthropoda; Insecta; Coleoptera; Chrysomelidae. The record is from RNAcentral.